AGUGAACGCUGGCGGUAGGCCUAACACAUGCAAGUCGAACGGCAGCACAGUAAGAGCUUGCUCUUACGGGUGGCGAGUGGCGGACGGGUGAGGAAUACAUCGGAAUCUACUUUUUCGUGGGGGAUAACGUAGGGAAACUUACGCUAAUACCGCAUAUGACCUACGGGUGAAAGCAGUGGAUCUUCGGACCUUGCGCGACUGAAUGAGCCGAUGUCGGAUUAGCUAGUUGGCUGGGUAAAGGCCCACCAAGGCGACGAUCCGUAGCUGGUCUGAGAGGAUGAUCGGCCACACUGGAACUGAGACACGGUCCAGACUCCUACGGGAGGCAGCAGUGGGGAAUAUUGGGCAAAGGGCGCAAGCCUGACCCAGCCAUACCGCGUGGGUGAAGAAGGCCUUCGGGUUGUAAAGCCCUUUUGUUGGGAAAGAAAAGCAGCAGGUUAAUACCCCGCUGUUCUGACGGUACCCAAAGAAUAAGCACCGGCUAACUUCGUG
This 492-nucleotide ribosomal RNA is filed under the name uncultured bacterium. Its description in RNAcentral is "partial 16S ribosomal RNA". It matches the Rfam family "Bacterial small subunit ribosomal RNA", at positions 29 to 507 of the family's 1533-position model. The record is from RNAcentral.